UCUGAAUCUGCGUACGGCUCCGCACACCAGUUGUAAACCAAAGCAAGCAAGCCUGACCCCGAGGCCUUCACAGGUCAAAGGGCCAGGUUACAAGGAUAACCCUGGUAAUUCUGAGGCUAAUACGUGACACGAACCUGUCGACUGGGGGCUUGCCCCUGGGAAGCGGGGGAUGUGCGACUAUCGGGCCAAAAACAACCGGAAAGAGCGCACGUUCAGACCACUCCAAAAAAGGUCUGCAGGAUCCCUCACGGGGUUUUGCGGAUCUUGUGGCUCUUGCACUGUGCUUCUGACCUAUCAACUAGACGGCAGCUUAAGGGACAUGCUUUGGU
This 329-nucleotide ribosomal RNA is filed under the name Meriderma aggregatum. Its description in RNAcentral is "bacterial SSU rRNA". It matches the Rfam family "Eukaryotic small subunit ribosomal RNA", at positions 80 to 350 of the family's 1831-position model. Lineage: Eukaryota; Evosea; Eumycetozoa; Stemonitida; Stemonitidae. The record is from RNAcentral.